GGCGGCUCGAGUGGUAACCGUUAUUAUUGGGUCUAAAGGGUCUGUAGCCGGCCGGAUAAGUCUCUUGGGAAAUCUGGCAGCUUAACUGUCAGGCUUUCAGGAGAUACUGUCUGGCUCGAGGCCGGGAGAGGUGAGAGGUACUUCAGGGGUAGGGGUGAAAUCUUGUAAUCCUUGAAGGACCACCAGUGGCGAAGGCGUCUCACCAGAACGGACCUGACGGCAAGGGACGAAAGCUAGGGGCACGAACC
RNAcentral lists this ribosomal RNA (248 nucleotides) under uncultured euryarchaeote. RNAcentral's name for it is "partial 16S ribosomal RNA". It matches the Rfam family "Archaeal small subunit ribosomal RNA", at positions 478 to 725 of the family's 1478-position model. The record is from RNAcentral. Lineage: Archaea; Methanobacteriati; Methanobacteriota.